GUAGAUCUACUUCUCCUCUUUCCGUAACAUCUUGAAUCAUCGAAAUCGGAGUUCGGACGAAGAAGUUAUGGCCAUUUUCCCAAAGGACCUCGGAGCAGAAAAUGUCAUGUUUUUGGGCCAGCGCCGGGGCGCUACUUCUAGUGCUUUUUCCAGCGCCGGGGCGCUAGGGGGCAAACUCCAGCGCCGUUGCCCAGCGCUGGGGCGCUGGGGGAAGGGUUUGGUGCG
Molecule: long non-coding RNA, 225 nt
Filed under: Panax ginseng (ginseng)
Lineage: Eukaryota; Viridiplantae; Streptophyta; Magnoliopsida; Apiales; Araliaceae
Description: long non-coding RNA (PGIN_LNC005404)
Source: RNAcentral